RNAcentral lists this ribosomal RNA (253 nucleotides) under uncultured bacterium. Its description in RNAcentral is "partial 16S ribosomal RNA". It matches the Rfam family "Bacterial small subunit ribosomal RNA", at positions 524 to 776 of the family's 1533-position model. The record is from RNAcentral.
UACGUAGGGGCCUAGCGUUGUCCGGAUUUAUUGGGCGUAAAGAGCUCGUAGGCGGUCUGUCGCGUCGGAUGUGAAAAUCCAGGGCUCAACCCUGGACCUGCAUUCGAUACGGGCAGACUAGAGUGAUGUAGGGGAGACUGGAAUUCCUGGUGUAGCGGUGAAAUGCGUAGAUAUCGUGAGGAAGACCAGUGGCGAAGGCGGGUCUCUGGACAGUUCCUGACGCUGAGGCGCGAAGGCCAGGGGAGCAAACGGG